Molecule: long non-coding RNA, 234 nt
Organism: Ailuropoda melanoleuca (giant panda)
Lineage: Eukaryota; Metazoa; Chordata; Mammalia; Carnivora; Ursidae
Exons: 3
Source: RefSeq, a predicted model, not a curated record
CACCUAUCAAGCCAUCACUGCAAUCAAGAUGAAAGUUGGUGGAACUGUAUCCUUAGAGAGAUGUUCGAAGGCGUGAAGAAGCAGGCUUGAUUCUAACCCAGCAGAAUAGACCCCAGAAAAAGACCACAAAACUAGCCUGCCAAGAGAGACGGUGCUGUUCUAGAACUCGUGAGAGUGCAUCUUUUAGAAGAGCCAAUUUCACAUCCAAAAAUUUAGUUGCGAGGAAGUCAAGUA